UGUUACUUGUUAGUAUGGCGGUCGGCUU
Molecule: small RNA, 28 nt
Filed under: Bombyx mori (domestic silkworm)
Lineage: Eukaryota; Metazoa; Arthropoda; Insecta; Lepidoptera; Bombycidae
Description: ovarian small RNA-36019
Source: RNAcentral